Molecule: long non-coding RNA, 240 nt
Organism: Triplophysa rosa
Lineage: Eukaryota; Metazoa; Chordata; Actinopteri; Cypriniformes; Nemacheilidae
Exons: 3
Source: RefSeq, a predicted model, not a curated record
GAUGAAUAGAUGCCUGGAGUCUACAAGAGCAUUCAUGAGGAAAAAGGGCUACAAUGUCUCAAGGUGGACAUGCAGCAGUCUCCCUCAUAGAUGUCAGCAAGAUGGCUCAUCCUGUGGUGUCCUGGCCUUAAAAUUUGCAGAGAACAUUUUACUGGGGGAGGCGAUAAAUAUUCACACUUCACAGAAGGCAGUGGACAAGUUGAGGCUUGACAUAGCUACUUCCCUCCUCAGAGAAUCAGG